Molecule: long non-coding RNA, 413 nt
Organism: Pipra filicauda (Wire-tailed manakin)
Lineage: Eukaryota; Metazoa; Chordata; Aves; Passeriformes; Pipridae
Exons: 4
Source: RefSeq, a predicted model, not a curated record
CAUGGCUCUUGCUUGCCACAAAGUUACACAUUUCAGAACCAUCCAGCAGAGGAGAAGUGCUUGAUCUCAGGCUCCUGUGAGCAGAGGCUAUCUCCCUAAAUCCUAUAUAGAGCCUAAAUUGGAUUAAGAAAAUACAAGAGCAGAUACCUGCCAAAGAUUUCAAAAUGGAAGUUUUGCCUCUGAAAAUAUGGAUUGGGAAAAGAAAACGAAGCAUGUAGGAAAGUUAAAACCUCCAAACAAGCAUGUUCUUCUGUCAACUUGGACUUCUUGUAAACCAUCAGAUGUUGCCAGUUUUAUGGCAAAGGGAGAAAGAAGGAGGAAAUACAUCCAUCUGGGGACAUGUACUGCACUGACUCAUUAAUGGAGACUGGUGUAUAUCCCACCAGUAUAUAGAACAAAAGAAUGAUUCUCGG